Molecule: transfer RNA, 493 nt
Filed under: uncultured cyanobacterium
Lineage: Bacteria; Bacillati; Cyanobacteriota
Description: 16S-23S ribosomal RNA intergenic spacer
Rfam family: tRNA (bases 130-203)
Source: RNAcentral
AAAGGGAGACCAACCAUCCAAAACAGUAAGUAAGUAUAGCUGUUUUGAGAUAGGACAACCCUGGUCGAGCAAGGCAUUGGAAGAGAGUGUGAAAGAAACUUUCAAACUAGAGUAAUAGGUUUAAAAAAUGGGCUAUUAGCUCAGUUGGUUAGAGCGCACCCCUGAUAAGGGUGAGGUCUCUGGUUCAAGUCCAGAAUAGCCCACCUACCGAAGAUAUGGGGGUAUAGCUCAGUUGGUAGAGCACUGCCUUUGCACGGCAGGGGUCAGCGGUUCGAGUCCGCUUACCUCCAGAAAAGAGGGAGGGAAAACCAAGAGAAAUCAGCAACAAGACCUGAAAAAAAGUCAAGUCAUGCUGCUGGUAAUCUAAAAUUACCAGUAAGAACCUAGAAAACUGCAUAGUAAAAGUAAAGUCAAAGUAACGAAACCAGAGGUUAGGUAAAACCUAACGAAAAAAAAGACUAGGUCAAGUCUAGUCAGGUAGAAAGUAAAAAGU